This 1037-nucleotide long non-coding RNA is filed under the name Mus musculus (house mouse). RNAcentral's name for it is "long non-coding RNA chr2:150770638-150771675". Lineage: Eukaryota; Metazoa; Chordata; Mammalia; Rodentia; Muridae. The record is from RNAcentral.
AAAUUGACAAUGUUGAAACCAGCUGGGCUCUGGGAGCUAUUUUUCAUUACAUCGACUCCCUGAAGAGACAGAAGGUUCCUGCCUUGUAGCAGCUGAGCCCUAGUCCCUGCCUCAACCAGAAUUCCAAGGCUCCCAACUCCAUGGACCCCUCUGUCUUGGAAGUGACACCAUCCUUGAGGAGCCUGCAUCUGGCUGAGACCCUCUGUGCCUGCAGUGUCAUCUGCAGAUUUGCCUGGGACAUGGCCCAUGUACUAGCCCUGCUACACCACACUAGCUGGGGCAGGGCCAGGGUAGGAAUGCUGCUUGGCCUGAGGCCAUCUCCCUGCCUUACUUACCUCCAAGUGGGCAGGGAGCCAGGUGGGGCCCAGGGCACAUGCAGCCCUGUUCUUAUUCCAUCCCUGUGCAGGAUUGUGGCUGCUUUUAUGUGUUUCUGUGACGUGAGUCUUGUUUUGUCUCCCAGCCCCUGUUCCCUCAUGAGCCAGGCCUCUCUGCCUUCCCAGAGUUGUGGGAGUUGAAGUAACCUGACCUUGCCACAGUGCAACCUCGAGGGGAGCACAUCUUGAAUGUGGCCAUCUCUUCCUCGGGACAGACAUGUGAAAUCACCUGGAGAUUUGCUGUCCCACCUUUGAAUGGUAUAGCAUUAACUGAUGUGGGGACACUGAGUAGGAAGAAGAUGGCCCAGUGCCUCUUUACAGACCCAGCGUGCCGCCUUUGCAGAGAAUGUGGGUGUGAGCAGAGCUGUGAGAAUGUUCAGGGCCGUUGCUCAAGUACUACCUUGUGAGCUGUGAGUGCUUUAUGUUAAAACUGAGCCCCUCUUCUGGACACAACUAUGUCCCAGUGAAUGUAUUCCUGCUAUGAGCCACUUGCAGACCAGUGGGGCGGAUGAGAAAGCUCAGCCCUGAACCAUACUACCCCUUACCCCACCCUCCUCACUCGGCUGCAGCUGGCUUCCCCAUGGUCCCCUCAGUGAAUGUACAGUUCAUAAAAUAAGCUGAGCCACCACUGUUCAACUCAAAAUAAAGGUUUACAAGGGUUUC